Molecule: ribosomal RNA, 228 nt
Filed under: uncultured bacterium
Lineage: Bacteria
Description: partial 16S ribosomal RNA
Rfam family: Bacterial small subunit ribosomal RNA
Source: RNAcentral
UGAGUAACACGUAUCCAACCUGCCGUCUACUCUUGGACAGCCUUCUGAAAGGAAGAUUAAAUACAAGAUGGCAUCAUGAGUCCGCAUGUUCACAUGAUUAAAGGUAUUCCGGUAGACGAUGGGGAUGCGUUCCAUUAGAUAGUAGGCGGGGUAACGGCCCACCUAGUCUUCGAUGGAUAGGGGUUCUGAGAGGAAGGUCCCCCACAUUGGAACUGAGACACGGUCCAA